RNAcentral lists this unclassified non-coding RNA (411 nucleotides) under soil metagenome. RNAcentral's name for it is "partial contains 5.8S ribosomal RNA, internal transcribed spacer 2, and large subunit ribosomal RNA". The stretch from base 1 to 122 matches the Rfam family "5.8S ribosomal RNA", at positions 35 to 154 of the family's 154-position model. The record is from RNAcentral.
GAUGAAGAACGUAGCGAAAUGCGAUAAGUAGUGUGAAUUGCAGGUGUAUACGUGAAUCAUCGAAUCUUUGAACGCAAAUUGCACUUUCUGGUAUUCCAGGAAGUAUGCCUGUUUGAGGGUCGCCUAAAUAAACUUCGAUUAUAUUGCUUUUUUUGUAAAUAUAUGUCGGAUUUGGGCUUUUCUUUAUUUUUUUUUAAAUAAAGUGGCUUAAAAUUUUUUUUUUGGUAUCAUCGAAAAGCGUAUUUUACGAUCAAUGUCGAUCAAAAGAAACGUUGUCGAAUGCCAUCCUUUAUUAAUGUAAUACGUUUGACUUGUGUUAUCAUCUAGUUCAUUCGUAUACGAUUCUUGAUUUUUUGACCUCAAAUCAGGUAAGAGUACCCGCUGAACUUAAGCAUAUCAAUAAGCGGAGGA